Molecule: long non-coding RNA, 1201 nt
Filed under: Taeniopygia guttata (zebra finch)
Lineage: Eukaryota; Metazoa; Chordata; Aves; Passeriformes; Estrildidae
Description: lncRNA (ENSTGUG00000028840.1)
Source: RNAcentral
GGGAGAUGGUAUGAAAGGUUUCAGACCUUCAACUGAAGGAAUCAGGUAGGUGAAAGAGAAGGCUGGGGUUGGCUCGGAGAACAUUCAUUCAUCUACCACUCAGUCAAUAAUGAAAGCCUCCUGAUACUCCUCCCCAUAUAUUUUGGGAGAGAAUGGCAUCUGCUUUAUUGGGUCAGGUUUCACUCAGUAAAUAUUGGGAGGAUCUAAUUCCUACCUGUAACAAGAGGAAAAGUCAAGGGAUUAUAAUUUGCAGUCAUUUAUCACACAUGACCAAGAGAAGUUGCAGCAGGCUCCAAACUCCUUGCCCUAUGUCCCACCUUCCCCUCCUUGCGCCACUCUGACUCCCCACAGAUGGGAAUCUUCCAGUUACACACACACAAGAUGUCUUACUCUUGCCGUGUUCAAUAAGAAGCAGCUUUUGGGCUUCUUAAUUUAUAGCAAGGAGAACUCUGCUGUGAAAGAUACUUAAUAGGCUUCUUCCUAUGUGAUGAUUUUCCAUGUUGAAAUAAAAUAAUGUGCCAUCAAUUCACAUAAUCACAAAACUAUGGAAUCAUGGAAUCACAGCAUCAUAGAAUGGCUGGGGCUGGAAAGGAACUUUGGUGAUCAUCUAGUUCAGCUCCCUGCUAAAGCAGCCUUACCUAGAGCAGGUUUUGCAAGAUCAUGUCCUGGUGGGUUUUGAAUAUUUACAGAGAAGGAGAUGCCACAAUCUUUCUGGACAGCCUGUCCAGUGCUCUGUCACCCUUGCAUUCUGUUUGAAGCUGCUUCAUAUCUUGCAAAGCCAAGCCAAGUCAAGAGCAACCACAUGGAAUAGGCUUGGAAUGAUAAGCGAAGUAAGGAAAACUGGACUUUCCUUUAGAACAAGCCCAUCAGAGAUGCAGCAUGACAGCCUGUGGUUGGCAGGCUCCUGGAAGAUGCCUUCCUCCUCAUGGCUGCAUCAAGCAAGGAGGGAGGGACCUAAAAACUUCAUACUCCCAGAUAUCUGCAAGAAACUGACAGAGACACUGAGUCUAAUUAUCCCAAGUUCUUCAUUCCCUUUAACUUCAGUGAGAAUACAGAGGAUCUGCCUCAAUUAUGGUGAGAAUAAGCAAUACACAUUCAACAAGGAGCCGAAGAGGGAAAAAGUGAGGGGAAAUUGCUAUGUAUAGACACCACAGCCAUUGAAAGACCUUUAACCUGUUUAUCUUCUCUUAAUAAAGUUUUU